Molecule: ribosomal RNA, 793 nt
Filed under: uncultured bacterium
Lineage: Bacteria
Description: bacterial SSU rRNA
Rfam family: Bacterial small subunit ribosomal RNA
Source: RNAcentral
AGAGUUUGAUCAUGGCUCAGGAUGAACGCUAGCGGCAGGCCUAAUACAUGCAAGUCGAACGGUAACAUGAGUAGCAAUACUUGAUGACGAGUGGCGCACGGGUGCGUAACACGUAUGCAAUCUACCUUUAACUGGGGAAUAGCUCCGAGAAAUCGGAAUUAAUACCCCAUAACAUUAUGAAAUGGCAUCAUUUUAUAAUUAAAACUACGGUGGUUAAAGAUGAGCAUGCGCGACAUUAGCUAGUUGGUGAGGUAAUGGCUCACCAAGGCUACGAUGUCUAGGGGAUCUGAGAGGAUUAACCCCCACACUGGUACUGAGAUACGGACCAGACUCCUACGGGAGGCAGCAGUAAGGAAUAUUGGUCAAUGGACGAAAGUCUGAACCAGCCAUGCCGCGUGCAGGAUGACGGCCCUAUGGGUUGUAAACUGCUUUUGUACGGGAAAAAACCCCUCUACGUGUAGAGGGCUGAUGGUACCGUAAGAAUAAGGAUCGGCUAACUCCGUGCCAGCAGCCGCGGUAAUACGGAGGAUCCAAGCGUUAUCCGGAUUCAUUGGGUUUAAAGGGUGCGUAGGUGGAAUAGUAAGUCAGUGGUGAAAGCCUGUUGCUUAACAACAGAACUGCCAUUGAUACUGCUAAUCUUGAGUACAUUUGAAGUGGGCGGAAUGUGUCAUGUAGCGGUGAAAUGCUUAGAUAUGACACAGAACACCGAUUGCGAAGGCAGCUCACUAAACUGUAACUGACACUGAGGCACGAAAGCGUGGGGAUCAAACAGGAUUAGAUACCCUAGUAGUCC